UGCAGUAGAAUUUUUUGGAUGUUGCUGUUGGCGCUAGAAAUCGGUCAACCGAAUCCCCAGCGUCUGACACACGACCCGGGAGAAUCUGCUUAACUCCUGUUCGGGUGAUUGCCCUGGUGCGGUUCGCGCGGCGUGCCAGCCAAUCUGACCUGUUGAUUGGCAAGGAAGGAUACGUGUCAGAUCCAGAAGUCGCGAUCGGCUAGAUUUC
RNAcentral lists this long non-coding RNA (208 nucleotides) under Setaria italica (foxtail millet). RNAcentral describes it as "long non-coding RNA (SITA_LNC007239)". Lineage: Eukaryota; Viridiplantae; Streptophyta; Magnoliopsida; Poales; Poaceae. The record is from RNAcentral.